Molecule: small nuclear RNA, 108 nt
Organism: Molossus molossus (Pallas's mastiff bat)
Lineage: Eukaryota; Metazoa; Chordata; Mammalia; Chiroptera; Molossidae
Source: RefSeq, a predicted model, not a curated record
GUUCAUCACUUCGGCAGCACAUAUACUAAAAUUGAAACAGUACAGAGAAGAUUAGCAUGGCCCCUACGCAAGGGUGACAUGCAAAUUUGUAAAGCAUUCCAUAUUUAA